This 253-nucleotide ribosomal RNA is filed under the name uncultured bacterium. Its description in RNAcentral is "partial 16S ribosomal RNA". It matches the Rfam family "Bacterial small subunit ribosomal RNA", at positions 524 to 776 of the family's 1533-position model. The record is from RNAcentral.
GCCGGAAGGUGCAAGCGUUGCUCGGAAUCACUGGGCGUAAAGGGUUCGUAGGCGGCCGUGCAAGUCUGGCGUGAAAGCCCCGGGCUCAGCCCGGGAAGUGCGCUCGAAACUGCGCGGCUCGAGUGCCGGAGGGGAGAGUGGAAUUCCUGGUGUAGCGGUGAAAUGCGUAGAUAUCGGGAAGAACACCCGUGGCGAAGGCGGCUCUCUGGGACGGUACUGACGCUGAGACGCGAAAGCGUGGGGAGCGAACAGG